AGUGAACGCUGGCGGCGUGCUUAACACAUGCAAGUCGAACGAGAACGGAUUAUAGCUUGCUAUAAUUGUCAGCUAAGUGGCGCACGGGUGAGUAAUGUAUAGGUAAUAUGCCUCUUACUAAGGGAUAACAAAUGGAAACGUUUGCUAAUACCUUAUACUCCUUAUUAACAUAAGUUAAUAAGGGAAAGAUUUAUUGGUAAGAGAUUAGCCUGUAUUGUAUCAGUUAGUUGGUGGGGUAAUGGCUUACCAAGACUAUGACACAUAACUGGUUUGAGAGGAUGAUCAGUCACACUGGAACUGAGACACGGUCCAGACUCCUACGGGAGGCGGCAGUGGGGAAUAUUGCACAAUGGACGAAAGUCUGAUGCAGCAACGCCGCGUGGAGGAUGACACAUUUCGGUGCGUAAACUCCUUUUAUAUGAGAAGAUAAUGACGGAAUUAUAUGAAUAAGCACCGGCUAACUCCGUGCCAGCCGCCGCGGUAA
Molecule: ribosomal RNA, 484 nt
Filed under: uncultured bacterium
Lineage: Bacteria
Description: partial 16S ribosomal RNA
Rfam family: Bacterial small subunit ribosomal RNA
Source: RNAcentral